UUAAAUCAAAAUUGUAAAGAAUUGGAACGUUUACCUACGUUUGCCGCCAGGGGCGUUAUUCCAACUGCGUACAAAUUUGAGUUA
RNAcentral lists this microRNA precursor (84 nucleotides) under Bombyx mori (domestic silkworm). RNAcentral describes it as "mir-2807 microRNA precursor family". It matches the Rfam family "mir-2807 microRNA precursor family". Lineage: Eukaryota; Metazoa; Arthropoda; Insecta; Lepidoptera; Bombycidae. The record is from Rfam by way of RNAcentral.